Molecule: long non-coding RNA, 293 nt
Filed under: Citrus sinensis (sweet orange)
Lineage: Eukaryota; Viridiplantae; Streptophyta; Magnoliopsida; Sapindales; Rutaceae
Description: long non-coding RNA (CSIN_LNC003392)
Source: RNAcentral
AGAAAAAUAAACACAAAUAUAUUGGUCUCGGAAUACAUCAAAUCAAUUAAAGGAAAAAGAUAAAUAUAAGUUGAGCACAAUGAAAAUCAAAAUCAAGUAAUUCUGCACGAUUGUCCAAUGUUGCCGAAACAACACUCUUCAAUUCUGAUCUUCUUCUCCUUCGUUCCUUCUAAUUACUCUAAUGAUAAUUCCUUGCCGCCAUUCUAUGUAGUGCACGCCUCCUUUUUAUAUUGCAAAUUAGGUUAAAACCAAAGCCCAUGAGCGUGCAUGUGUUUAAAUUAGGAAACAUGCAG